UCUUUAUGGGGUGACUGCGUACCUUUUGUAUAAUGGGUCAGCGACUUAUAUUCUGUAGCAAGGUUAACCGUAUAGGGGAGCCGAAGGGAAACCGAGUCUUAACUGGGCGUUAAGUUGCAGGGUAUAGACCCGAAACCCGGUGAUCUAGCCAUGGGCAGGUUGAAGGUUGGGUAACACUAACUGGAGGACCGAACCGACUAAUGUUGAAAAAUUAGCGGAUGACCUGUGGCUGGGGGUGAAAGGCCAAUCAAACCGGGAGAUAGCUGGUUCUCCCCGAAAGCUAUUUAGGUAGCGCCUCGUGAACUCAUCUUCGGGGGUAGAGCACUGUUUCGGCUAGGGGGCCAUCCCGGCUUACCAACCCGAUGCAAACUACGAAUACCGAAGAAUGUUAUCACGGGAGACACACGGCGGGUGCUAACGUCCGUCGUGAAGAGGGAAACAACCCAGACCGCCAGCUAAGGUCCCAAAGUCAUGGUUAAGUGGGAAACGAUGUGGGAAGGCACAGACAGCCAGGAUGUUGGCUUAGAAGCAGCCAUCAUUUAAAGAAAGCGUAAUAGCUCACUGGUCGAGUCGGCCUGCGCGGAAGAUGUAACGGGGCUAAACCAUGCACCGAAGCUGCGGCAGCGACACUAUGUGUUGUUGGGUAGGGGAGCGUUCUGUAAGCCGUUGAAGGUGUGCUGUGAGGCAUGCUGGAGGUAUCAGAAGUGCGAAUGCUGACAUAAGUAACGAUAAAGCGGGUGAAAAGCCCGCUCGCCGGAAGACCAAGGGUUCCUGUCCAACGUUAAUCGGGGCAGGGUGAGUCGACCCCUAAGGCGAGGCCGAAAGGCGUAGUCGAUGGGAAACAGGUUAAUAUUCCUGUACUUGGUGUUACUGCGAAGGGGGGACGGAGAAGGCUAUGUCAGCCGGGCGACGGUUGUCCCGGUUUAAGCAUGUAGGCGGAGGU
Molecule: ribosomal RNA, 943 nt
Filed under: Enterobacter hormaechei
Lineage: Bacteria; Pseudomonadati; Pseudomonadota; Gammaproteobacteria; Enterobacterales; Enterobacteriaceae
Also listed under: 1 other name
Description: partial 23S ribosomal RNA
Rfam family: Bacterial large subunit ribosomal RNA
Source: RNAcentral